GAACUUCAGAGACGAUGGGUNCAUUCGGGAACUCAGACACAGGCCUGGAUGUUAGUCGUCAGCUCGUGUCGUGAGAUGUUGGGUUAAGUCCCGUAACGAGCGCGAAACNUUUGUCCUUAGUUACCAGCUACGUUAUGGUGGGAACUCUAAGGAAGACUGCCGGUGACAAACUGGAGUGAAGGUGGGGAUGACGUCAAGUCAUCAUGGCCCUUACGGCCAGGGGCUACACACGUGCUACAAUGGUCGGUACAAAGGGUUGCCAAGCCGCGAGGUGGAGCUAAUCCCAGUAAAGACACUUNUCGUAUUCCGGAAUCGCGAGGNCUGCAACAUCGACGUGCAGGUGAAGUCGGAAUGCGCGUAGNAAGUCCGUGGACAGUCAGAAAUGUCACGG
RNAcentral lists this ribosomal RNA (391 nucleotides) under Phytopseudomonas flavescens. RNAcentral describes it as "bacterial SSU rRNA". It matches the Rfam family "Bacterial small subunit ribosomal RNA", at positions 993 to 1332 of the family's 1533-position model. Lineage: Bacteria; Pseudomonadati; Pseudomonadota; Gammaproteobacteria; Pseudomonadales; Pseudomonadaceae. The record is from RNAcentral.